Molecule: ribosomal RNA, 525 nt
Filed under: uncultured bacterium
Lineage: Bacteria
Description: bacterial SSU rRNA
Rfam family: Bacterial small subunit ribosomal RNA
Source: RNAcentral
AUUAUGGCUCAGAACGAACGCUGGCGGCGUGCUUAACACAUGCAAGUCGAACGCGAAAGGGACUUCGGUCCUGAGUAAAGUGGCGCACGGGUGAGUAACGCGUAGAUAACCUGUCUUCAUGUCUGGAAUAAUACGCCGAAAGGGGUACUAAUACCGGAUAUUUUUUGCUUUUUCAUAAGUUAUGCAAGCAAAGGUGGCCUCUGCAUAUGCUACUGCAUGAAGAGGGGUCUGCGUACCAUUAGCUAGUAGGUGGGGUAAUGGCCUACCUAGGCGACGAUGGUUAGCGGGUCUGAGAGGAUGAUCCGCCACACUGGCACUGGAACACGGGCCAGACUCCUACGGGAGGCAGCAGUGAGGAAUAUUGCGCAAUGGGGGAAACCCUGACGCAGCGACGCCGCGUGAAGUGAGGAAGGCCUUCGGGUCGUAAAGCUCUGUCAAGAGGAAAGAAGUGUACAAUGGCUAAUACCUGUUGUAUUUGACGGUACCUCUAAAGGAAGCACCGGCUAACUCCGUGCCAGCAGCGGC